RNAcentral lists this ribosomal RNA (253 nucleotides) under uncultured bacterium. RNAcentral's name for it is "partial 16S ribosomal RNA". It matches the Rfam family "Bacterial small subunit ribosomal RNA", at positions 524 to 776 of the family's 1533-position model. The record is from RNAcentral.
UACGUAGGGUGCAAGCGUUGUCCGGAAUUAUUGGGCGUAAAGAGCUCGUAGGCGGUUUGUUGCGUCGGCUGUGAAAUCCCGAGGCUCAACCUCGGGUCUGCAGUCGAUACGAGCAAACUAGAGUGUUGCAGGGGAGACUGGAAUUCCUGGUGUAGCGGUGAAAUUCGUAGAUAUCGGGAGGAAUACCGGUGGCGAAGGCGGCAUCCUGGACCAUAACUGACGCUGAGGCGCGAAAGCUAGGGGAGCAAACGGG